AGUGAACGCUGGCGGUAGGCCUAACACAUGCAAGUCGAACGGCAGCACAGUAAGAGCUUGCUCUUACGGGUGGCGAGUGGCGGACGGGUGAGGAAUACAUCGGACUCUACUUUUUCGUGGGGGAUAACGUAGGGAAACUUACGCUAAUACCGCAUACGACCUACGGGUGAAAGCAGGGGAUCUUCGGACCUUGCGCGAUUGAAUGAGCCGAUGUCGGAUUAGCUAGUUGGUGGGGUAAAGGCCCACCAAGGCGACGAUCCGUAGCUGGUGUGAGAGAAUGAUCAGCCACACUAGAACUGAGACACGGUCCAGACUCCUACGGGAGGCAGCAGUGGGGAAUAUUGGACAAUGGGCGCAAGCCUGAUCCAGUCAUACCGCGUGGGUUAAGAAGGCCUUCGGGUUGUAAAGCCCUUUUGUUGGGAAAGAAAAGCAGCAGGUUAAUACCCCGCUGUUCUGACGGUAACCAAAGAAUAAGCACCGGCUAACUUCGUG
Molecule: ribosomal RNA, 492 nt
Filed under: uncultured bacterium
Lineage: Bacteria
Description: partial 16S ribosomal RNA
Rfam family: Bacterial small subunit ribosomal RNA
Source: RNAcentral